This 495-nucleotide ribosomal RNA is filed under the name uncultured bacterium. RNAcentral's name for it is "partial 16S ribosomal RNA". It matches the Rfam family "Bacterial small subunit ribosomal RNA", at positions 28 to 507 of the family's 1533-position model. The record is from RNAcentral.
GACGAACGCUGGCGGCGUGCCUAAUACAUGCCAGUAGAACGCUGAAGGAGGAGCUUGCUUCUCUGGAUGAGUUGCGAACGGGUGAGUAACGCGUAGGUAACCUGCCUGGUAGCGGGGGAUAACUAUUGGAAACGAUAGCUAAUACCGCAUAAUAGUAGAUGUUGCAUGACAUUUACUUAAAAGGUGCAAUUGCAUCACUACCAGAUGGACCUGCGUUGUAUUAGCUAGUUGGUGGGGUAACGGCUCACCAAGGCGACGAUACAUAGCCGACCUGAGAGGGUGAUCGGCCACACUGGGACUGAGACACGGCCCAGACUCCUACGGGAGGCAGCAGUAGGGAAUCUUCGGCAAUGGACGAAAGUCUGACCGAGCAACGCCGCGUGAGUGAAGAAGGGUUUCGGAUCGUAAAGCUCUGUUGUAAGAGAAGAACGAGGGUGAGAGUGGAAAGUUCACACUGUGACGGUAUCUUACCAGAAAGGGACGGCUAACUACGUG